UCUUAAUUUCUCAUACUCUCCCACCGGACAGAAUGGCGAGAGAGUGUGUGAAAUGAAGAGA
Molecule: microRNA precursor, 61 nt
Filed under: Pristionchus pacificus
Lineage: Eukaryota; Metazoa; Nematoda; Chromadorea; Rhabditida; Neodiplogasteridae
Description: mir-8364 microRNA precursor family
Rfam family: mir-8364 microRNA precursor family
Source: Rfam by way of RNAcentral